GAUCAUGGCUCAGGAUGAACGCUAGCUACAGGCUUAACACAUGCAAGUCGAGGGGAAACGAUAUUGGAAGCUUGCUUCCGAUAGGCGUCGACCGGCGCACGGGUGAGUAACGCGUAUCCAACCUGCCCGUCACUUGGGGAUAACCUUGCGAAAGUAAGACUAAUACCCGAUGAUAUCCCUAGAAGACAUCUGAAAGGGAUUAAAGAUUUAUCGGUGAUGGAUGGGGAUGCGUCUGAUUAGCUUGUUGGCGGGGUAACGGCCCACCAAGGCAACGAUCAGUAGGGGUUCUGAGAGGAAGGUCCCCCACAUUGGAACUGAGACACGGUCCAAACUCCUACGGGAGGCAGCAGUGAGGAAUAUUGGUCAAUGGGCGAGAGCCUGAACCAGCCAAGUAGCGUGCAGGACGACGGCCCUAUGGGUUGUAAACUGCUUUUAUAAGGGAAUAAAGUGAGUCUCGUGAGACUUUUUGCAUGUACCUUAUGAAUAAGGACCGGCUAAUUCCGUG
This 505-nucleotide ribosomal RNA is filed under the name uncultured bacterium. RNAcentral describes it as "bacterial SSU rRNA". It matches the Rfam family "Bacterial small subunit ribosomal RNA", at positions 15 to 507 of the family's 1533-position model. The record is from RNAcentral.